AACGAACGCUGGCGGCAGGCUUAACACAUGCAAGUCGAGCGCAUCCUCCGGGGUGAUCGGCGGACGGGUGAGUAGCGCGUGGGAAGGUGCCCUCUUCUACGGAAUAGCCCCGGGACACGGAGAGUAAUGCCGUAUACGCCCGCAAAGGGAAAGAUUUAUCGGACGAGGAUCGGCCGGCGUGGGAUUAGGUAGUUGGUGGGGUAACGGCCUACCAAGCCGACGAUCCUUAGCUGGUUUGAGAGGAUGAUCAGCCACACUGCGACUGGGACCCGGCCCAGACUCCUACGGGAGGCAGCAAUGGGGAAUCGUGGACAACGGGGGGAACCCUGAGGCAGCCAGGCUGCGAGAUCGAUGAAGGCCGGAGGGAAGGAAAGAUCUUGCAGCUGGGAAGAUAAUGACGGUACCAGCAGAAAAAGCCCCGGCUAACUACGUG
RNAcentral lists this ribosomal RNA (433 nucleotides) under uncultured bacterium. Its description in RNAcentral is "partial 16S ribosomal RNA". It matches the Rfam family "Bacterial small subunit ribosomal RNA", at positions 29 to 507 of the family's 1533-position model. The record is from RNAcentral.